UACAGAGGGUGCGAGCGUUAAUCGGAAUUACUGGGCGUAAAGCGUGCGUAGAUGGUUAUGUAAGUCGGAUGUGAAAGCCCAGGGCUCAACCUUGGAAUUGCAUUCGAGACUGCAUAGCUAGGAUGCGGAAGAGGGAAGCGGAAUUUCCGGUGUAGCGGUGAAAUGCGUAGAGAUGUGGAGGAACACCGAUGGCGAAGGCAGCCUCCUGGGCCAAUACUGACGCUCAUGCACGAAAGCGUGGGGAGCAAACAGG
This 253-nucleotide ribosomal RNA is filed under the name uncultured bacterium. RNAcentral's name for it is "partial 16S ribosomal RNA". It matches the Rfam family "Bacterial small subunit ribosomal RNA", at positions 524 to 776 of the family's 1533-position model. The record is from RNAcentral.